Molecule: small RNA, 77 nt
Filed under: Flavobacterium sp. 9R
Lineage: Bacteria; Pseudomonadati; Bacteroidota; Flavobacteriia; Flavobacteriales; Flavobacteriaceae
Description: Flavo-1
Rfam family: Flavo-1 RNA
Source: RNAcentral
UUUUAACCCUGAUAGAAACGGCAUCCUUUUGUGAAGCGAUAGCGUAACAAAAGAUAUAGUGUAUAGCAGGACGAUGU